GGACCUGGUCAAGCUCCUGGAGGAAAACCUUAACAAUAGUGUAAGUCCCUCUAUGACUGGAUCCUCCUGGGGUUUUUAACCCUCAGACUUGUUCUCGCUUGGCCUCCGGCAAUUCAUCAAUUACAGAUCAGGUUUUCCUGCCUUCGGGUGGUCUCCAUUCCCAAGUCUGCUCUGAUCCAAGAAGAAUCGUUGAUUUUGCAGUCUGUUCAUCUUUUUGCUUGUUAGGACAGAGUGUCUGGUACAGGAUCUACAGCCCUGGGAUGAGAGAACUGUGUUCUCAUGGAGAACGGAAGAGAUAGAGAGCCCGUGCCUCCAAGGAUAAUAGAAGUGCCUCCUGGCUUUGCGGUAUCUCCAGUCAAUGAAACCACAAGAACCUUGGCAGGAACAAGAGACGAAGAAACUCGCAUUGCAGAGGGAGACAGUCACUCAAGGGAGACAAGCCACUGUGGGCUGGAAGAAAAGAAGCUGAAGUCAGAGGUCUUUGGGCACUACCAAGGACACCAAUGUCCUUUUCGCCCCGCGGUCACAUCUGUGUGAAGAGGAAGGAGAGCAAGAAGCCCAGGGACUGAAGUCAUCUGACCAUAGAAAUAUAUGAAGAGAGACAAAAUUCACAUAUUCUGUUGAUAAAGUUUCUCUCUCGGUUUUCUUUGAGACCCGAUGAACAUCUUCCUGCAUCUUCUGGGACCUAUCAUGGCUCUUAUCUACAACACCUUGGGCUUCCCAAGCUUCAGGCUUAGAGAUGCAACCACAGACAGCUGACUUACAGCGCCCCUCCCUCGAGAAAUUCCCUGGCUGUAAAAGCUCCUAUUGCCUGAAUGGAGUGAGGAUGGUUUCCCUUGGAAGUCAAGGAUCAGUUCGAUAUAAUGCAGUAUCUGAUCUCCAAGCAACAGGACAAGGAAAGGGGCAUCUUCUGUGUCUUCAGCAAUUACGAUAGUCCAGGUUAUGCUGCUGUAACAAACAACCUUCAAAUAUGAGUGACUUUAAACUAAAAGGGUUGAUUUCUUGUUCAUGCUACUUGUCCCUUGUAGGUUGGCAGGGAAACCCUGACAUUAUAGUUAUUUAAAGGCUCAGGCUGAUGGAGAAACGACCGCAUUGAAUACUGGCGGUCCCCAAUCCCAAGAGGAAAGAGAGCUCCAGAAAGCCUUGCAUCAGUAAUUCAACACUCUCGCCAGGAAGAGACCCAUUUCACUUCCAUUCAUUGGCUAGGACUAGUCACAUGGCUCUGCCCAGCCACAAGGAG
Long non-coding RNA from Dama dama (fallow deer), 1240 nucleotides. RefSeq lists it as uncharacterized. The transcript has 5 exons. The record is from RefSeq and is a predicted model, not a curated record. NCBI's taxonomy places the organism in Eukaryota, Metazoa, Chordata, Mammalia, Artiodactyla, Cervidae.